RNAcentral lists this ribosomal RNA (253 nucleotides) under uncultured bacterium. RNAcentral's name for it is "partial 16S ribosomal RNA". It matches the Rfam family "Bacterial small subunit ribosomal RNA", at positions 524 to 776 of the family's 1533-position model. The record is from RNAcentral.
UACAGAGGUCUCAAGCGUUGUUCGGAUUCAUUGGGCGUAAAGGGUGCGUAGGCGGCGCGGUAAGUCGGGUGUGAAAUCUCGGAGCUUAACUCCGAAACUGCAUUCGAUACUGCCGUGCUUGAGGACUGGAGAGGAGACUGGAAUUUACGGUGUAGCGGUGAAAUGCGUAGAUAUCGUAAGGAAGACCAGUGGCGAAGGCGACUCUUUGGUCUGUAACUGACGCUGAGGCGCGAAAGCGUGGGGAGCAAACAGG